AUGGGCCACAUCGCCGCCAACGACACCCCGUUCCCGCACCGGAGCAGCGUGCUCUACAACAUCCAGUACGUGGAGCACUGGAACGGCAAAGGGCCCGGGGGAGACCUUACGCCUACGCCAAACUGGAUCGGGAGCCUGUACGACUUCAUGGCGCAGUUCGUGAGCAAGAACCCGAGGGCCGCGUACGUUAACUACCGGGACCUCGACAUUGGCGUGAACACGGUGGUCGGCGGAGUGACGAGCUACGAAAGUGGCAAGGUGUGGGGCGAGAGGUAUUUUGGUCCGGCAAACUUUAGGAGACUCGCAGAGGUCAAGCGCAGGGUGGACGCCGGCGACUACUUCCGGAACGAGCAGAGCGUGCCGCCACUUCCCUUGAACUAG
This 381-nucleotide ribosomal RNA is filed under the name Triticum aestivum (bread wheat). Its description in RNAcentral is "partial small subunit ribosomal RNA". The record is from RNAcentral. Lineage: Eukaryota; Viridiplantae; Streptophyta; Magnoliopsida; Poales; Poaceae.